GUGGAUCCUGAGUACGACGGAGCACGUGAAAUUCCGUCGGAAUCUGGGAGGACCAUCUCCUAAGGCUAAAUACUCUCUAGUGACCGAUAGUGAACCAGUACCGUGAGGGAAAGGUGAAAAGUACCCCAGAAGGGGAGUGAAAGAGAACUUGAAACCGUGUGCUUACAAGUAGUCAGAGCCCGUUAAUGGGUGAUGGCGUGCCUUUUGUAGAAUGAACCGGCG
This 222-nucleotide ribosomal RNA is filed under the name Staphylococcus haemolyticus. RNAcentral describes it as "partial 23S ribosomal RNA". It matches the Rfam family "Bacterial large subunit ribosomal RNA", at positions 401 to 625 of the family's 2925-position model. Lineage: Bacteria; Bacillati; Bacillota; Bacilli; Caryophanales; Staphylococcaceae. The record is from RNAcentral.